CAGUAGCCGCGGGAAUACGUAGGUGGCAAGCGUUGUCCGGAAUUAUUGGGCGUAAAGGGCUCGCAGGCGGUUUCUUAAGUCUGAUGUGAAAGCCCCCGGCUCAACCGGGGAGGGUCAUUGGAAACUGGGAAACUUGAGUGCAGAAGAGGAGAGUGGAAUUCCACGUGUAGCGGUGAAAUGCGUAGAGAUGUGGAGGAACACCAAUGGCGAAGGCGACUCUCUGGUCUGUAACUGACGCUGAGGAGCGAAAGCGUGGGGAGCGAACAGGAUUAGAUACCCCGGUAGUCCCUGUCUCUUAUAC
This 301-nucleotide ribosomal RNA is filed under the name uncultured bacterium. RNAcentral describes it as "partial 16S ribosomal RNA". It matches the Rfam family "Bacterial small subunit ribosomal RNA", at positions 509 to 807 of the family's 1533-position model. The record is from RNAcentral.